AGAACGAACGCUGGCGGCAUGCCUAAUACAUGCAAGUCGAACGAACACUUCGGUGUUAGUGGCGCACGGGUGCGUAACGCGUGGGAAUCUGCCCUUGGGUUCGGAAUAACAGUUGGAAACGACUGCUAAUACCGGAUGAUAUCGAAAGAUCAAAGAUUUAUCGCCCAGGGAUGAGCCCGCGUAGGAUUAGCUAGUUGGUGAGGUAAAGGCUCACCAAGGCGACGAUCCUUAGCUGGUCUGAGAGGAUGAUCAGCCACACUGGGACUGAGACACGGCCCAGACCUCCGUACGGGAGGCAGCAGUAGGGAAUAGUUGGACAAGUGGGCGCAAGCCUGAUCCAGCAAUGCCGCGUGAGUGAUGAAGGCCGUUAGGGUUAGUUAAAAUUCGUUUACGACCGGGACGAGUAAUGGACGGUACCGGAGAAGAACGCCCGGACUAACUCGUCGCCAGCAGCCGC
Molecule: ribosomal RNA, 457 nt
Filed under: uncultured soil bacterium
Lineage: Bacteria
Description: bacterial SSU rRNA
Rfam family: Bacterial small subunit ribosomal RNA
Source: RNAcentral